Molecule: ribosomal RNA, 419 nt
Filed under: uncultured bacterium
Lineage: Bacteria
Description: bacterial SSU rRNA
Rfam family: Bacterial small subunit ribosomal RNA
Source: RNAcentral
GAAUAUUGGUCAAUGGGCAAGAGCCUGAACCAGCCAUGCCGCGUGUAGGAUGACGGCCUUCUGGGUUGUAAACUGCUUUUAUCAGGGAACAAAAAGGCCAUGCGUGGCAAACUGAGGGUACCUUAAGAAUAAGCACCGGCUAACUCCGUGCCAGCAGCCGCGGUAAUACGGAGGGUGCAAGCGUUGUCCGGAUUUAUUGGGUUUAAAGGGUGCGUAGGCGGCUUUUUAAGUCAGUGGUGAAAUCCUGCAGCUCAACUGUAGAACUGCCAUUGAUACUGGAAAGCUUGAGUACAGACGAGGUAGGCGGAAUUUAUGGUGUAGCGGUGAAAUGCAUAGAUACCAUAAAGAACACCUAUAGCGAAGGCAGCUUACUAGACUGUAACUGACGCUGAGGCACGAAAGCGUGGGGAGCGAACAGG